RNAcentral lists this long non-coding RNA (30941 nucleotides) under Solanum tuberosum (potato). RNAcentral describes it as "long non-coding RNA (STUB_LNC002782)". The stretch from base 29223 to 29276 matches the Rfam family "MIR1886 microRNA precursor family". Lineage: Eukaryota; Viridiplantae; Streptophyta; Magnoliopsida; Solanales; Solanaceae. The record is from RNAcentral.
UUUUUUUUUUUUUGAGGUCAAUUGGGAAGCAUGUAAAGAAACUAUUUUUAUUUACUAUCUUAAAUAUUUUAGUAAUUUUAAAGAAAUUACCUUAAUAAAUAAUGCUCUAUCACUCUUAUAACAUGUAAAAAAUUAAAAUUAAGUUUGAACACGCAUAAAAUAAAUAGACCUGCAACCCGCCCUCACCCCACAUUAGUUUUUAAAAGACCACUUUAACCCAUCUCGCAUUCCAUCCCACCCUGCACAACCUUGAAACAACCUUGUCUGGCUGUCCCUCAUAGCCUUAAACCCGCCUUGCCCCAUAACAACUAACUAAUGACAACUCUCUUUAACCUUUCCAAAUAUAAGCCGACAUACCUAAGGGAAAACAAAACUGAAUUGCCCCAAAGUCAGACAAAAUUAACAGUAAGUUAUGGCUGAUCACACAAUGCCAAAAGAAAAAUAGGAAGGUCACCCAAAAUGAGAUUUUUGUUUGCACCUUUUUAUAGAUCUUUUCUGAUGUGCAUUCCUUGAACCUUUUUAUUCAUGUAUUUAUUAUUUCUGAUUAAUUAGUCUACAUUUAAUUAUUCGAUGCAAUUCUUCCAAUUCUCCUAUUUAUUUAGCAAUGAAGAGGCUUAUUGCGUGUAUUGUAAAUGGCCAUUUUGAUUUGAUUAUAUGAAAUAUUAAAGUAGAACACCAAAACAUUAAAUUGGUAUGAAAGAUUGAAAAAUAAUGUUAAGGAAGUUGAAAAGAAACCAAAAUAUUGAGAAGAGGACAGUUUAAGGAAGAUUAAAAAGCUAGCAAUUCUAAAACAUUGAAUAUAGACUGCUAUAAUUGUGUGAUAAUUAAAAUAUUCCAAUUUAAUUAAAGUAGAUAUUUUAUUUAUUACAUUAGGGUGCAGUAAUUGUGUAAAAAUUUAAUUAUUAUUAUUAAUUAGAUAUUUUUAUUCAUAAAAUAUUUUUAUUUAGUAAAAAGGUAAAAUGGUAAUUCAACUUUGAAAAUAGGAGCUUUUUUCACUUUUAAUUAAAAAUAAUAAUAAUAUAAUAUUUAAUAUAAUAAUAAAUAUAGUAAAUAUAAUAAAAUAAUAAUAAUAAUUAAUAAUUAAUAAUAAUAAUAAUAAUAUAUGAUAUAUGAUUUUGUUUUCUCUAUUAUAUUCCACAUAUAUAUACUUUCUCUAUAAUUAUACUCUUUGACAAAUCAAAGUAGUCGUAAUUGAAGAAAUAUCAACUAAUAUCUACUUAUUGUUUAAUGAAAAAGACUCAAAUAUGUCAUCAAAUUUUAAGAAACAAUUCAUUUACGCCAUCUGUUAAAAAAUUUGCAUAUUUAUGUGCUGUUUGAGAAAAUGUUCAUCCAUGCCAUUAUUUUUUAAGUCCAAUUUUGCAAAACUAUUUUUUAUUAACAAGACCCUCAAACAACUUUUAACACUUUUCAAUUGUGGUUUUGGAUCAGAUGUACUCUUUUGCUUCUUCCUCCUCAAGAACACAUGACUAACAUCAAGAACUUCCAAAUUUUCAUCUUCUUCAAUUCUUCAUGAAAUUACCUCAAAUUUUGGCAACGUCAUUAUUUUUUUUUAAAAAGAAAAAUUCUAAAAUCAUUUGUAGAGUUAAAAAGAACCCACCCGUAUUAAAAAAUAUUCCAAAAAAGCGAAAUCACAAAAUUUUGAAAAUCUAUUUUGAUGUGUUUUGGUUGUUGUUUUUGACAAUAUUAGAUCUUUGUUCCCUAGUAUUUUUUUUGAAUCUAUGUCCAAAAUUUCAAGUGAUUUGGAGUUGUGGAGAAAAUUCUACCAUUAAAGGACGUUGAAGUUUUGAAGAAAUUUCAAGUGGACCUUGUUGAGUUAGGUUGAAUUCAAGCUCAAAAGAUAUUGAGGAUCCGAAGGAAAACUAUUCUUGAAAUUUGAGGUGAUUUCGUGAAGAAAUGAAGAAGUUGGAAAUUUGAGAGUUCAUGAUGUUCUUCAUAUAUUCUUGAGCAAGUAGAAGCAAAAAGAGUACAUUUGAUCCAAAGCUCCAAUUGAAAAGUGUUAAAAGUUGUUUAGGGGUCUUGUUGAGGUAAAAAUGAUUUUGCAAAAUUGAAGUUAAAAAUAAUGGCAUGAAUGCGUUUUUUCUCAAACGACAAUGACAUAGAUGAACCAAACUUUUAACGAAUGACAUAAAUGAGUCUUUUCUUACAAUUCGAUGAUCUAUUUGAGCUUUUUCCCUUGUUUAGUUACAUGAGGAAUUAUAUUGAUUAGAGUUGUUAUUUUUUAUCUUUGUAUAUAUGUAGCUUGCUUUUGUAGUAAGUCAUGCAGCGAUACCUCCAGAAGUUUAUUGGAAAACAAAAUUGCCCAACACUGAGUUGCCUAAAGUAAUCAAAGAUGUUCUUCCCCACACAGGUUUUUCGUCAACUCCACACAUUUUGUUUUAAUGUCAUGAGUGUAUAAUUUUGUAUAUACGACAUAAAAUGACUUCUCUAAAAAGAACACUAUUUUUCAUUAAAAAAAGUUAUUUGUGUAUUUGACACGACAUAAGACUUUUUUUUUAAUGAAAAUUAUUUUGAAAUAGGGAAAUGACUUCCGUCACUUUUGGGUGGAAGCUAUACUUAUUAUAACGAACUUGAUGUGUUUAAAAAUUUGAUAUAUGUAGAUCAUAAUACCAACAGUAAUCAGAAAGUAUACCGUGGUAACUUCGAUUAUGGAGUGUGGCCUUGGCAUCAUGCCGGUACGGAGGAAGAGAUUCGUGAGCUGAAAAACGAUGACAAUCAUUUUCUUUAUAAACCUUACUUCUUCGAAAAUGACUUGAAGAAAGGAAAUAUCAUCAACUUUCCCUUUUUGAAACAUAAAAAUGAUGCACCAUUUUUGCCUCGCCAAUCAACCAUUCCCUUCUCAUCGAAAAGAAUCCCAGAAAUUCUAAACCAUUUCUCAAUCGAUAGUAAGUCAAAGGAUGCUCAAACAAUCAAGGAAACAAUCGAUUUAUGUGAAGAGCCAGAUCUCCAUAAAGAGAAGAAAUUUUGUGCAACCUCGUUGGAGUCGAUGGUAGAUUUCAUGUUAUCCGAGCUAGGAACAAACAAUAUCCAAGCAAUUACAACAGAGGUUGAAGGGGAAAGUAGUCAAAUAUUUCAGAAAUAUACUAUGGAAAAAGUUGAACAAAUAGCGGAUGGGAACAACAUGGUAUGUCACAAAGUAAACUAUCCAUACGCUGUGCAUUAUUGUCAUGUUGGAGGAAGAACGAAGACAUUCAUGGUAUCUAUGAUAGGUGUUGAUGGAACAAAAGUGAAAGCACUAUCAGUAUGCCACCAAGAUACAUCUUUUUGGACUCCAAAGGGAUUACCUUUUGUAGUGCUCAAUGUUAAGCCUGGAACUACCCCUAUCUGUCAUUUCCUUUUAAAUGAUCAAAUUGUCAUUUUCCCUUCUAAAGAGGCCACUAAUUAGGCUAUUAUUUGUAUGAUAUAUCAGUAUAAUUAGUGAAAUGAAUAUGGGUUCAUGGUAUUUUUUUUGUGUGAGUUGCAUUAUGGCUCUCAUAUAUUGAUUAAAACCUUAUGAAAUAUUUUUGAGAUUUAUUUGUACGGCUCCACUGCUUCUUCGAAGCUAUCAGAAAAUCAGCACACUCCUCUGAACCAUCCAGGUAUGCUAGCUGCUGUAUCAAUCUCCUCCCUCCUCGUUUCUUACUUUUAAUUCCCCGAUUUUCUCUCAAGCUCUCCUUCUGCGAAAUUUCUGUUCGGCUGGCCUUGGCAAGUUCCCAUUCACUUCCUUUGGAGUUGCCCACAACACCACCCAGAGGCGAAUCCAGGAUUUGAAGAUGACGGGUGCACUACCAACGGUAAUGCACGUUAGUUAAAGUAUGUACCCAAUAUUGAUUUAUAUGAUAAUUUUAUUAAACAUAAAAAUAAAUUAAAUGACUCUAGUAGAUAAAGUUUGUUUUGUGUAGUGGUGGUUUUAAAUUUUACUUUGCAUCAUGAGGUCGCAAGUUCGAAACUAAUCAUGCCCUAUUUUAUUUGAUAUUUUUAAACUUCACAGCUAAAAACGAAAAAUAAGUAAAUGAGAUUCGAACCCAAUCCCUUCCACAAUAAGGUACAGCGUCUAAACCAGCUAACCCAACUGACUCUUGAGCAUUUGGGUGCCUAAUAAAAUAUAUGUCUAUUUUAAGGUAUAUAUAUAUAUAUAUAUAUACAUAAUAUUUCGAAGUUAACGGGUGCACGUGCACCCUCAACGAUACACGUGGGUCCGCCUGUGACACCACCCCGAAUCCCUUGAACCAUACAUGUAUGGCGUCAAACAUCAUUGCUUCUAAAAUCUCUUGCUUCCCUUCCUAACAUAUUCGACAUCAUCCAAGAACAACCCGAAACAACUAAUUUUACAUGAUAAAUUCAAUUCUUACUCUUACAUUUCCACUCCUGUCCAUACGUCAUGUUAUCCCUACUUAUAUUUGAUGGAGUCUGGCCUUUUCAUCGUCAUCAUGACUGCAAUAAUAAUUAUAGAAUUUUGAGGUAAAUUUAACCUUGUUACUGAUCAUUGAUAAUUUGAUAUGUAUUUGUACAGAGACCCUACACAAAGACACUUUACAUGCAUACAACACAAUAUAGUAUAAACUACGAAAAUUUAAGAAGAACGUCUCACACAACAAAAGAGUUUGACAUAAAGUAGAAGUCUAAUCAUAGUCUCGACAAACCAGUCUAAACAUCUCUUAGAAGGUGUUAUUUUUAAAUCAAGUAAUUUAAACUCUCCAACUUUCAAGGUGUUACAUCUAAUUCAAUCAAGUAAUCAAAAUCUGAUUUCAAAUAUAAUAACACCCAAAUCAUUCACUUUGAAAAAUGGGUCAAUUCAACUGUAGAACCCAAUUCCGAAAUUGAGGUUUGAAUACGAAAAUAUUUACUUGAAAAUGUUACCCAAUGCAUUUGAAACUCAUUAGUGAAAACUAUUUCGAAAAAGGAAUUAAAAUCAGUUAACAAUCACCAUUUUACCUUAAAACUCAAGUUUUUGAAAAAUCUUGCCAUUUUCCAAUCAAAAUCUCAAGUUUUGAUGUUAAAAAUUCAUAAAUAAUAAAAAGGGAAAUGAAGUUUUAGGGUCACAAAGGCUUACCCAAAUGAUUUAGCACAAGAAAUCUCUUCAAAAUCACCUCUAAGGAUUUUACAAACAUUGAAAUGGGUAAAACCCUAAAAAUAGCAAGCAUAAACCCCCUUCUGAUGUUGCAAAAGCGACCUAUGAUUCGGAAAAGUGAACCACGAAAAAACUCGGCCUUUGCUUUCGCGAAGGUCGCAAUCGUGAAUAGGCCCUCGCUUUUGGGAAGGUUUGGGGUCUCAUCUCCCUCACUUUCGGGAUCUUGGUCUUGCUAACACGAGGUUCGCAAAUGUGAAUAUCCUAUCGCGAUCGCGAAGUAUAACAGACACCAGAAAAUUGCAGCCGUCUCAAAAAUCAUCGAAAGGACCCUUGGACCUCAGGAUUUGUUCGAAAUCCCGUACACAAUAACCAUAUAUAUAAUUUGACGAAAUAUGACGUUUCAAACUCAAUGGAACCAUCGAAACACGAAUCUGAGGUCUCUUUGUUGCAAAACUCGUGAAAGUCACAAGAAAUGAACAUAAUGCCUAAAAAGGAUAAAUCAAACUCGGAACCUCUGAAAAUUCAACCAAGACCUCACCUAGGCCUAAAAUCAUCCCAAAUCGAACGGAACUCUCAGAAUUAUAAUCAGUGCGAACCCUGAAUGUUGACCAAAAUCAACCCAAAAGCUAAAAUUUCACAAAUUUCCAACUAAUUAAUGACCUCAAAUCCUUAAAAAGACUCAGAAUUUAAAACCGACAAUUCUCUUAGAUCAAUUUCCACAUUCCGGAACUGAUGGAAUCAACUGAAUUCUAUUCUGACACUCAAAACUCAAAAAGACAUUGAAAACCAUUUCUAACAAUUUUAGCCUUUUGAAACCAAAAACUUACAUAAUUCACAACGGUUUUACUCAAAGCUUGAAACCAAUUUCAAAACUCAUUUAAAAAUGACUCGGGAUCAAUAUCGAGAGGGGUAAAAAUAGUAAUUUUACGAACAUUUCUAAAAAUGAUCUUCCGGGACAUUACAGAUGCGCUACCCAUAAAUCUAUAUUAAAAAGGUAUAAAUAAAACCUAUAAUCUUUAAUCAUAAAUCCUAUUAAAAAUAAUUUGAAUUUUUAUCAAAAGAUGAAUUACACCACCUAUGCCUAUGCAGAGGACGUUAAAUCACGAAAUACAACAUACUGAAUGGAGUUCUAAUAUAUUUACUUUCCAAGGCAAGAAUGAUACAUGUCAUAGUUUCUUAUCUAUUGAAACAUCAAGUGAGUAAAGAAAAAUUAUUGAAAGACUUCCAUUUGAAUAAUGAAUUCUCCAAGGGGUUGGUUUUCUUAUUUAAAUGAAUACUGACCAUUAGAUUUUGAAAUAGACAUGUCACAAAAUUACAUAUGCACUGGACAAAUUAGAGAGAUCAUGUACUUGAGAUGAGCCACCUCUGACCAUGAUAGGCUAAAAAUACUUAGCUGGAUGUGUAAAUUAUAAAAGAGUUUAACUAUUAUACACCAAUUUAUAAAAAAAAUUGCGUACACAAUUAGUAACUUUGAGGUAACUUCUUAAGUAAUUCUACUUUUUAAUAUUUAAAUAGAGAAGUACUUGACGCAAAUUGUUAGUUUUGUCCUCAAAUUAUUGACAGUUUUAAAAUCACCCAUCUACUUGACUAACUAAAACCUUAGAUAAUCCCCUAUCUGCUACAUGAUAUAGCAAGUGGUUUCAAACUGUUGAAGGAGCAUAGAACUCUUAAUAAAAAGUCAAGAGAAGCUUGAUGAAAAUUAAAGGUGUAUUUCACUCAUGUUGCGAGAUCGAUGGUGUAUUUAGAUCCACUUAGACAAGUAAAAAGGUAUUUUCAAGGCUGUUAAUAGUUUGGAAUGAAACUAAUAAUUCACAUCGAGUUUAGAAGUAAGGAAACUUGGACUCUACUUUAUUCUAUCCAAGCAAUGUUCUAGUUUACCCAAAAUACAGAGGAGGGUCGUCUUACUUUCACGAGUUUCAUCAUCACUAAUUUAGGUAUUUAAUUUCUUCCACACCAUGAAAACAAUUAAUUUCAUAAAUCAUUCGAGUAAUCACUAGAUUGGUUUAGUUUUGAUUUUAAUCAAUGAUCGAUCCAAAUCGAACCACGAACCGCCUUAGUUAUUGUUGGUCAAAGUUAUUGAUUUUGUAAAAAAAAAAGUAUACAUCAUUGGUGCAUAUUAGUUAAAUUCAUUAUAAAAUUUAGCGGAAAUUUCAUAAAUAGCAAAGAGAUUAAACUUAAGAAGCCUCCUUAGCUACAAUUUAUCUUCUUGCGUUUCAUAACUAUAGCUUCGUAUUUUUGCUUGCUAUGGAUAUUCCCAUUUGCAUAAUUCACUUGCCAAUAUACAAAUAUGAUAAGUAUAUACAAAUUAUGUAUUUAUACAAUUAAGAAUUUUUCAGAACUUAUACAAAUUAAAUGUAUCAAUAAGAUAAUUAUGUACAAGCUAGGGUAAGCAUAUAAAAAUUCUGGAUUUUAUACAAUUAGGAGCCUAAUUAUACAAACUCUAGAUGUGAGCCACAUAAUUAUAAUUGUAAAUUAAUGAUGAAUAAUAAUUUAAUCCAACUGUAGCUAUAUUAACUAAUUAACUAGUACAUAUUUAUUUAUCCACAUAAUUUUCCCUAAAAAUAAUGAUGUGGAAUAAUAAUUUAAGUGGGUCCACAUGAUAUAAUUACUUUGAAACCUGCGGUGCACGUGUAAAAUAACCUUGAAGCUAGCACACAUGUCCACGAGUGUUCAUUGUUCAAAUAAAAUUAAAUUCAAAUAGAAAAAUCAAAUUAAAUUUAUUAAAUAAAUCAAUUUUAUUUGACUUUGAUUUAUUUUAUAUUUUUAAAUAGAUAAUAUUUAAUUUAAUUUUGUUAAGAAAUCAAAGAAAUAACUAAAUCGAAUCGACAAAUCAUAUACUUAAUUUUAUUAUUAUAUAUACGUAAUAUAUUAUUAAUUUGAUGUUGAUUUUAAACAACUGAUUCAAAUUGAUCCGUGAACACCCCUAGGCAUGUCAAUAAAGUGGUGUCUACUUCAUCACCUCUCCUACGUACUUCUUAUAUAGGAUAAUAUAUACUCCCCGUGUCCCAGUUUAUAUGAUUACUUUCUUUUUUAGUAAGUCCUCAAAAGAAUGACAUAUCUAUAUAUUAAGUAACAAUUUAAUUUUAAAAUACCCAUUUUACUUUAAGGAAAUGAUUUAUAGCCAUACAAAUAUUUAUCACUUAUUUUAGACCACAAAUUUCAAAACUUCGUAUCAAGUCAAACUAACUCAUAUAAAAUGGGAUAGAGGUAGUAAAUAUUUUAACACUGUUUUAAUAAAGUCUAAUAAAAACAAAAAAAAAAGUUAUCAAAAAUAUGAGUGCAUGACGAAGCAUGUAUUUCAUAACUAUUUUGAUGUCAGAUGCAACAUUCAUGUGAACAUCACUAAAAUCUAAUUUAAUUUUGUUUAACUAAGCUGGUCAUGUUGUGCCUAUAAAUAAAGGAUAUUUUUUGUUUUCUUUCUAUCCAAAUAUCCAAAGCCUUUUAACAAUUCUAAAAUUUCUCAAUGAAGUCUCAGUUCCUCUAUUUGCUCUCGUUCUUUUGGGUAAGAAAAUUAUGUUUCUCUAUUAUAUCCCACAUAUACAGUUGCAUACUUUCUCUAUAAUUAUAUUCUUUGACAAAUCAAAAUAGUCAUAAUUGAAAAACAUCAACUAAUAUUCUACUUAUUGUUUAAUUUAAUGAUAAAUUAUACUGAUUGAAAAUUUAAUUGUUUGUUUUUGUUUAUAUGUAGAUUGCUUUUGUAGAAGCCAUGUAGCGAUAUCUCCAGAAGUUUAUUGGAAAAUAAAAUUGCCCAACACUCAGAUACAGUGAUUAAAGAUGUUCUUCCCCACACAGGUUUAUUAUAAGUUUGCUUAAUUUUGUAUAUAGGACAUAAAAUGACUUCUCGAGAGAAAUAUUAUUUAUCGCAUAAGUCAUUUUUUAUGAAAAAUAUUUUCAAAAUAAGAAAAUGACUUCCAUCACUCUUGGGUGGAAGUCAUACUUAUUAUAACUGCUUAAUGUGUUUGUGAAUUUGAUUUUGUAGAUCAUAAUUCCAAAAGUAAUCAGAAAGUAUAUCAUGGUAACUUCGAUUUUGGACAAUAAUUUUCUUUACAAACCUUACUUCUUCGAAAACGACUUGAAGAAAGGAAAUAUCAUCAACUUUCCCUCUUUCAAUGAUAAAAAUGAUGCACCAUUUUUGCCUCACCAAUCAAUCAUUCCCUUCUCAUCGAAAAAGAUCCCAGAAAUUCUACAUCAUUUCUCAAUCGAUAGUAAGUCAAAGGAUGCUCAAACAAUCGAGCCAGACCACCAUAAAGAGAAGAAAUUUUGUGCAACUUCAUUAGAGUCGAUAGUAGAUUUCAUGUUAUCGGAGCUAAGAACAAAUAAUAUCCAAGCAAUUACAACGGAGGUACAAGGGGAGAGUAGUCAAAUAUUUCAGAAAUAGCGGAUGGGAAUAACAUGGAAUGCCACAAAGUAAACUAUCCAUACGCUGUGCAUUAUUGUCAUGUUGGAGGAAGAACCAAGACAUUAAUUCAUGGUGUUGAUGGAAUAAAAGUCAAAGCACUAUCAGUAUAUAUCUUUUUGGACCCACCCCAAAGGGAUUAGUGCUCAACCCCUAUUUGUCAUUUCCUUCCAAAUGACCAAAUUGUCAUUUUCCCUUCUAAAAAGGCCAUUAAUUAGGCUAUUAUUAUUUGUAUGAAAUCAUUAUAAUUAAGGAAAUGAAUCUGGCUAGCUUCAUGAUAUUUUUUUUGUGUGAUCUGCAUUAUGGAUUUCAUAUAUCUAUUAAAAAACCUUGUGAAAUAUUUUUGAGGUAGAAUUGUCCGUGCAAAAUGAUUCGUCAAAUUGAGCCAACCUUUUGUACACUAUCAUGUUGAAGUUGAGUUGUGCAUUUUUCCAUAAAUGAGAAGUUAAUUUUGCCGCCACCGCAGGGAUCGGAGCAAAAUAUAUGUAUGUUAACCUUAAAAUUGAUUGCUCCAUAAGUUCUCUAAAAAAAGCAUGCAGUGGGGUUACAACCUAUUUAAUAUUCCCAUUGAGGAAGCCAAGCCAUGUUUGAAAACAGGAUGAAUGGUUAUUGUAGUUUAUAUCUUAAUGGCGCCGCUCUGAACUGGAAAAGAGAUAGAUGAAGGUAUGGUUACCACCAUUCUAAUCGUUGCAAAUUUGUGCUUAUUGUAUAUAGAAAAAGCUGAACUGCAUCAUUGUCGUCUUUGCCACUUUUGUACUUUCCUUUUACGUAUGGCGCUGGAGGCUUGGAACUUUAUGCUAAUUUUGUAUAUUUUUGCAUUAUGAUCGCCUUUAUUUAUUACAGUUCAUCUCUUAGCCGACCUUUUGUCCAGCUUCGAUUAAUUUCAAAAAUUCUCCUUUACUGCCUUAGAUCGAAGUUGUGCAAAAUGCCGCCUCAAAUCCAAGUUUAUCGUGCAUGGUACAUUAUUAUUAUCUGAGGAGUUGAGACAUUAAGGGUGUGUUUGGUAUGGAGUAAAAUGUUUUCCUAUUUUCUUUUGUUUGGAUGCAACAAAAUGCUGGGAAAACAUUUUCCUAAACGACUUGUUUUCCUAAAAUCAGCGGAAAACGACUUCCGUAACAAGUCUGCGGAAAUCAUUUUCCGGAAAAGAAGUCGACGCGCAACACAAGCGAAUUUCACCCCAGCCUACGCCCUUGCCCACCCUCAAACGUAGUGAAGGAGCGUUGUUUCUCCAUUAUUUCUCCAGCUUGUUCCUCUCCAAAUUUAGGGUUUCCAUUGUUGUUCUUCUCAUUCAUAUUCCUGUAAGAAUUUCGAAGGUAUGCUUUCAAUAAUUCUUCAAAAUAUUCAUCUUUCACUUGCUUUUCUGCUGAAAUACUUGCUCAUGUGUUUGAAUUUGACUUUACUUGGUGAAUUUAUGCAUUGGAUUCGAUAUUUUUUGGUAAAUAUAUGAAUUGUGGCCUUUUGCUUUCCAUAAGGAUGAGCAAGCAUGUGUUUCAUUGUACUAUGCACAGUUGAAAUAUGUGUGUGGUGUACAGAGAUGAGCAACUGUGCACAAUAAUGUGAAAAACUUCAAGUCUCAACUGUAUAGUGUUAGCUAGAAGCAUGUACUAAUGUAUGGCACGCUGUUUUCAAGUUAUUUUUUGAUUAAAACGACAGUUCGAUACAUAAAAUAUAUUCAUCGUAAAAUUAGAGAUCUUAUUCUAAAGGAUUAUUUGAUAGUGUGUGUAGAAAUAAUAGAAAAAUAUCAAGAUCUAGUGGGGAGGGGUUGGGGGUGAAAGAGCAUAGAAAAUUAUUUUCCUAAAAAAAUUCCUUACUCACCAACCAAACAUUCCUCCCUGGGAUCGACUAAAACAUGGAUGAAAUACAGUUAACUUGACACAAGCAUUAGGUUGAUUUAACGGCUCAAACUUCACCUAAAGCAUUUAAAAUAAGACUCUGUAAAAUACGCUACUAAUUGUCCUCAAAUUCAAUAAAAGAAGAAAAUUCUACUUUUGGUAAUUUUAAUGUUUUUUCACAUUGGGCAUAAAAAUAAAAAUAAAUAUUUAUCCACAUAUUAAUGAACAAAAACAUAUUUUCAUAGUACCCACUUGAGUCCCCUUCGUGUCACCUACUCUCCUUCUUCAGCUCCAAUUUUUUGCUGUAUUUCUUACAGAUCUGAAGGCAGAUUUAUCGGCUAAACUUUGAAGAUUUUCUUUCCGUAAGUUUCAAUGUUUCUUUGAUGGCUAAAGAUUUAAUUUUUCCCCAUUUUUUUCUGAUUAAAUUGCAUACAAGUACUGAAUCUGAUAAAGUAGAAGGAUUGUUCAAGUAUAAAUAUAGCCAUUUUUUCAAUUUUAUAUGUUGUGUACUAGAAUUAUUUCAUAAUUAAUUACUCGUAUUUAUCCUCUUUUAACUUUAUUUCGGUAUUUUCCAUUUCAUGUUCAUUACCUUGUGCAUAUAAGUACUGGAAAAGAUUUUGAAUUUUUUGGAAUAAAACUUUGAAUUGUUGUUCUUCUCAUUCAUAUUCCUGUAAGAAUUUCGAAGGUAUGCUUUCAAUAAUUCUUCAAAAUAUUCAUCUUUCACUUGCUUUUCUGCUGAAAUACUUGCUCAUGUGUUUGAAUUUGACUUUACUUGGUGAAUUUAUGCAUUGGAUUCGAUAUUUUUUGGUAAAUAUAUGAAUUGUGGCCUUUUGCUUUCCAUAAGGAUGAGCAAGCAUGUGUUUCAUUGUACUAUGCACAGUUGAAAUAUGUGUGUGGUGUACAGAGAUGAGCAACUGUGCACAAUAAUGUGAAAAACUUCAAGUCUCAACUGUAUAGUGUUAGCUAGAAGCAUGUACUAAUGUAUGACACGCUGUUUUCAAGUUAUUUUUUUAUUAAAACGACAGUUCGAUACAUAAAAUAUAUUCAUCGUAAAAUUAGAGAUCUUAUUCUAAAGGAUUAUUUGAUAGUGUGUAGAAAUAAUAGAAAAAUAUCAAGAUCUAGUGGGGAGGGGUUGGGGGUGAAAGAGCAUAGAAAAUUAUUUUCCAAAAAAAAUUCCUUACUCACCAACCAAACACUAGAAAUUGUUUUCCGGAAAAUGUUUUCCACUCACUAACAAACAUAAGAAAACAAGUUAAAAAUCAACUUGUUUUCCAAGAAAACAUUUUCCAGGAAAACAUUUUCCUUCAUACCAAACACACCCUAAGAUGUAAGUUUUCUAACAACAGAUCUAGCUACCCUUUUUCCCUGCCUUGCUAUUAAUUAUAUAUGCAGGCUUUGUAAAAAUACUAGUUUUGCAUCUUAGGUAUACAUGCAUGGAUAUAUGAAUAAUCAGAAUAUAUGGGAAAUAAUCAUGUGCGCGCGAGUUUAUAUAAAAGGGAAGCUUUGAUAUUGAAUUCAAAGUCGUCCCGAUCGAAAGAAACUUGUGUCAACAUAUUGUAUCUCUAAAUAAAACUAUUUAUCGGGUUCUCCUUCAAAAAAAAAGAAAAGAGAAAAUGGUCUAAACCCCCCCCCAAACUAUACCCGAAAUCUCAACUACACACUUCAACUUUACGGGUGUCCUAUUACCCGCUUGAACUUUAUAUUUCUCUAUUUUCUACACACCUAAGUGCUGACCUCAACACAUAAACCAAAUAAUUAGGCCUGCGUGAUUCCACGCGCUGGUCCCCCGCCUCUUCAACUCCCAUUUCUUGUUUUUUCCCCAUUCCCUCCUAAAACGUAAACGAACAAAAAAAAUCCUCCUUUCUCAUUUUCAAUCCUUCUCCAUUAGCAAUGCAUUUCUGGUGAUCAUCAAACAAAUUUGCUAUCAUCGAACAAUUUUGUUGUGUAUUGUCAACUUCAUUUCGUAGUUUAUCAACUGAUUUAGUAAAAGGUUAGUUCUUUAUCCCUUAUUUCGAGUUUGUGAUUUAUCCCCUAGGGUUUCUGUUGAUUCGUGAAAUUAAGAGCAACAUUGUGUGAAAUCUUAUGUGUGGCUUACGAUUAUAGUGUUAGGUGUUCAUUUAAUACCACAUUUUUCAUGAAAUUAGGUUUUCCCUUUCUCGUCUAAGUCGCGUAAUUUUGUAUUAUGUUCGUCUUAGUAUUAUGUUCAUGGAGUGUUGUAUUUAUGUUCUUCUUAGUAUUAUGUUCAUAGAGAAGCUGCUACGUUUCUACAGUGUUGUAUUUAUGUUCAUAGAGAAGCUAAGUACUGUGUUGUAUUCUGUUCGUUUGCUAAUGUGUUGUAUUCUGUUCGUUUUUAAGUACUAUUCUAUUUUUUGGAUUGCCCUCAGGUUAGAGUAUGUCUAUAAUUACUGUUCUAUUUUUUUUAUUGCCUUCAAGUAAGAGAUGAAUGGGUUUACUUUGAUUACUCUAAGGUGGUACCAUGGUGGGGUGUUAGAUUUAAGUAGUGGGGAACCAAUAUAUAAUGGUGGAAAAGUUACAGAAUUUUUGGAUGUUGAUGUAGAUAAAAUGCCAUAAUUUGAUUUGAAAGACUAUAUUAGAGAAUUGGGAUAUAGUACAACUUGCACCUUUAGUAUUAAAGCACCUAACAGUGGCAUUUUGGUAGAUAUUGAAAAUAAUAAGGAUAUUUUAGACAUGAUGUGUUUCUUGGAAGAUGGGGAUGAAGUGGAGGUAUUUGUUAGGCAUUUGGUUGAUGAGGCAAUUGUAGGGCCCAUGUUAAUAGAAAAUGGUAGUCAUGUGGAUAUGGGAGAAUCUGGUUCAGCUUUUAAUACAAAAGCCUAGUGAGAGUGAAAACUUUAACUUUGGGGUAGGUGAAGAUCAUUUAAACAGUGAGGACCUUGUUGCUACUUUUUCAACCUCACCUUUUUUCACUACCACACCUCCUUUCAAUACUGCUACUGCAGAUGGUGCUACUGAUGAUGAUAUAGAUGUUGGUCAUGUUGGACCUGAUUUCUCAGAAGAAGAAGUAGAGGGUUCUGAUUACUCAACUGAGGAUAGUGUUGAGUAUGGUAGUGAUGUACAUGAGAAGGUUAGGGAGUUGAGGGAUGAAAAAGAGAAGUUUUCAAAGGAGGAAAAGAAGGGAAAGAGUAGCAGCUGACAAUGAAGAGGUACCAGUAGGUGAAGCUGGACCAGAUCUAGGUUUUGAUGAAACUGAAACAGGUAAAGUAAGUCAUGAAGGAAGGCUAGGAGGUGAUGAGCCUUACUUUGCAAGUUCUGAUGAGAAUAGUUUUGAGUUAGAUGAAGAUGAGUGUUGUAAUGAUGAUUAACAUGAAUCUGGUAGAUCAAGAAGGGUAAAGUUGUCAAGAAAGAGGAGUCCAAAAAAAUCAUUGAUGAUCCUACUGCAAAUAUAGUUGUGUGGCAGUUGGGCAUGGUGUUAAAGAUGUGAAAGAAUUUAGACAAGCAGUAACUAAAUAUGCAGUUAGAAGGAGGGUUCAAGUGGAGAAGUGGGUGAAUGAGCCUAAAGAAAGUUAGAGUUAGAUGCAAAGAUGGUUGUUCAUGGCUUUUGUUUGGAUGUCUUGACAAGACAACAAAUAAUUUCAUGAUAAAAACUUACAAUCCAAAGCAUACUUGCAACAAGACAACUAGAAAUUACUUAUGCAAUGCAAAGUUUUUAUCUGAAGCCUUCAGAGAAAGAAUAACUGAGCAACCAAACAUAAGAGUCUUCAAGUUGCAGGAGAUGAUUAGGAAAAAGUUAAAACUUCAUGUUGGCAAGACUACUGUGAGAUGAGCAAGAGCUAAAGUAUUGAAAGAUAUAAUGGGUGAUCAUGUUGUGGAAUUUGGAAGAAUACUUGACUACAAGGAUGAAUUGUUGAGGACCAAUCCAUGGACCAGUUGUGUUGUAAAAGUUGGUGAACCUAAUGCAGAAGGCAAAUCAAUAUUUCAGAUUUUUUACAUCUGUUUUGAUGCUUUAAAGAAGGCAUGGAUACAUUGUAAGAAAUGCAUAGGCUUAGAUGGUUGUUUUCUUAAAGGUGUUUGUAAAGGCCAACUGUUAGUUGUUGUGGCCAGGGAUGGUAACAAUCAGAUGUUGCCACUUGGUUGGGCAGUAGUUGAAAAGGAGUACAAACACACACGGACUAUGUUUGUCAAGUGCAUAAGGGAUGAUCUGGGACUUGGAGAUGGUGAAGGUCUCACCUUGAUUACAGAUAUGCAAAAGGUAUGUGAAGUUAUUUUGUAAUUUUCAAUUUAUCUAUGUAAUUGUGACCUAAUCAUCAUCUAUUGCAGGAAAUGUCUGUAGCAACUACAAAUGUAUUACCUAAGUGUGAACAUAGAAUGUGUGCUAGGCACAUAUUAGCUAACUGGGUUAAGGAUUGGAGGGGUCUUCAAAGAAGACAACAAUUUUGGAAGAUAGCUAAAAGUACAUUUGAGUCUCAAUUAAGGAACAAUAUAGAGAAGAUGAAGUUGUUAGGUCCAAAAAAAAUGAUGGAUAACUUAAUGUACUAUAACAUUAAUUUUUGGUGCAAAGUUUACUUAAAUACUGAAGUAAAGUGUGACUCUGUAGACAAUAACAUGUCUGAGUGUUUUAAUGCAUGGAUAUUGGCUGCUAGACACAAGACCAUCAUUACUAUGCUUGAAGAAAUAAGAGUGAAGAUGAUGACAAUAAUAGCCAAAUUAAGGGAGUUCCCAAUUACUUGGAAGUGUAAUUUCUUUCCAAUGGCUCUGAAGGUUUUAGAGGAAAACAUUAGUAGGUCUAUGGAUUGUACCAUUGAGUUUAAUGGAGCUGCUGGAUUUGAAGUGAAAGAAGGGCUUUGUCAACACAAAGUGGAUAUUGCUAGGAGAACUUGUAGUUGUAGGGUGUGGAAGUUAAGGGGCAUACCAUGUGCACAUGUUGUGGCUGCAUUAUACUUUAAAAAGUUUUCUCUUUAUGACUAUAUAGACAGCUGCUACAGUAAGGAAACUUACUUGAGGAUUUAUGCCAAUGUUAUUAAACCACUCACAAACAUGGAGAUGUGGCCAGUUUCUACAAACCCUAAUAUUGAGCCACCAGAAAUCACAAACAUGCCUUGUAGGCCACCUAAGGCUAGAAGGAAAGAAGUUGGAGAAACGAAGAAAUCUGGGAAGCUUCCUAGGACUGGACUUGCAAUGACAUGCAGUAUAUGUCAUGUCAGAGGCCAUAACAAGAAAGGGUGUCCUCAAAGAGAAUGUGUUGAAUCAUCAACAAGACAAAGUGCACCAUCACGUACUGCAUCAGUAAGGGCAGAACCAACAGGUUCAGGCAGGGGAAGAGGCAAACCAAAGGUAAUAUUUGAACUUGUUUUACUUUUUCUUAAUUUAUGACUUACUUUAUCUCUUAUAUGUAUAGAAAACUCCAUCAGCACCAUCAGAAGGUGAGCCUCCACUAAAAAGGGGAAGAGGAAGACCAAAAACAACAUCAUCAGUAGCACCUAGUGCACCUCCCCUACCUACUGCACCUAUUGAUUUUCCUGCAUCCUCUUAUGCUCCUCUUACUUAUCAUGCAUCAUCUUCAAUAGAUGGUACUACUAAAAGAGGAAGAGGUAGGGGCAGGGGAAACACAUCUCUAGAGAAAAGACCAAGAGUCAUGGGAAUGGGUGUGUUCUAAGCUGCAAAUGGCUUCAAAGUCAUGAAUGUGAGUCUUUGAUAUAUGUUAACGGCAUAAAUAUUGAAUUAUAAUCCUAAUUUUGUUUAAUUAAACAACUUAAAUAUUGAUAUAAUCCUAAUUUUACUAUAGCCUGGCAUGCCAAGUAGUAAGAUCUACUCUACUGGACAAGCAAAAGUGACAAGAUCAUCUGAUGUAACUGGUGACAUUGGUUAUACACCAAGUAAUACAACUAAGUUGAAAUGGAAUGGUAAAGCAGCAAUCUCAACAAGCAAGCUUCAUGAGCUUAGAGAGAUGCAAAGAAAGAAGACAAUGGGAAGUAGUUCAAGUCAAAAUGACACUUCUUCACAGUCAAAGGUGUCAUGGAAAUUGUAGUGACGUUGAUGUAUUUAAGCACUUUUAAGUUAGUCCAUACAUGUUGCAUUAAUGGCCUGCUAUUUUGGAUUUUGUUUGUUGGUAAAUUUUGCCUUAUGUUGAGGGCUUUUGAAUAUGACAUUAUUUAGGUAAAUUCUGUCUUAUGUGAGGCCUUGUAAAUAUGAUUUUAUUUUGGUAAAUUCUGCCUUAUGUGAGGCCUUAUGAAUAAAUGGUGAUGUUGUGUUUUAAAAUAGUUGUUGUGUUGUCUAUCAAAUUGUAUUGGCUAUUCAGGUGUGCUUACAUAUGUUGUGUUGGUUAUGUGUUUUACAAAUGGUGUUGUGUUGUCUAUGUUGAAGUAUGAAUGGAUGACUAGGUUGUUGGGUGUUGAUGAAGUGUUGCAUAUUAAUACAAGCUUCAAUUGACAUCAUAGAUACAAAAUGACACACAUACAUUAGCAAUUUUAAUUAAACAUAACAACAAUACAAAUCAAAGAGAAAUCCAAAUAUGCAGCACUUGAACUACUGGUUGCUGAUGAACAUAGCAACAACACAAAUCAAAUACACAAAAGUGUCUUCCUAUUGAACCUACAUCAUUUCAACCUUCUAUUGAGUCUCCUCUCCAAUAACAAAUUAGAGUUCCUCAAGUUGUCAAUAUGAACCUAUCUAAUACAUAAUUCUUGCUCCAACUCAUUGAUUUUGUUCACCAAUCUUGGAAGGAAAAAACUUGAUCUUGGAUCCACUUCUUCUUUGUCCCUCCAUCGAAAAAAUUUGCAAUUUUUAGACUGAAAAUGAUCCAAAAUAGUACAUUAGCAUAGUUCAAAAUAAAGUGUAGCAAGCAGGGGUGGACCCACGUGGUAUCCAGGGGGUUCACCCGAACCCCCUCAGCAAACUAUUACACCUUAUAUAUAAGGUAAAUUUUAUGUAUUUCUGUAGAUAUAUAAAAUUUGAACCCCCUCAAAAACAAAGAGAAAUUGAUGGUGCUGUGGCAAGUACCCCUGAAAUAAAGUUCUAUGUCACUGGUUCGAAUCCCACUGAAAGCAUUUUGUUUUUUUCUUAUUCAGUUUUUUUAGUUUUUUUUUUUAAUUUUCAGUUCUGUUUUUCAAGUUUUUUUUUACUUUAAAAAAUGUGUUAAAAGUUUGGUUUUAAACCCAAAAGAAUUCAAGGUUUUCAUUUCUAAAGUCUUAUUUACACGUUUAUACUUUUAUUUUUCGAACUCCCUGGAAAAAAAAUUUGAAUCCGCCACUGGUAGCAAGAAUACAAGAAAAAACACAUACACCAUAGCAUGGGCAAGACCAAAAUCUUCUUCCGGAUUUAAUUUUGACCAAGAAGUUUGCAAAUUCAGCAAAAUUCUGUGUUUGCAUCUCACUACAGCGUUGAGCAUUGAGUCUGAUUCAUCCAUACAAAGCUUAUUCAAGUUUUCAUUUGCCAUUUUUGAUGAAUUUCGAGAAAAUUCAAAUUAGAGAUCUAAAUAAGAAAUUAGAGCAGAUUACAAACCCUAAAUUCAAGAUUUGAAGUAGAAAUGAACAUUAACAACUAAACCCUACUUAAUUUUGAGAGGAAAAUGUGAUUUUUUAUAAAAGGAACAAGGGUUAAUGGUGGGGAAGAAGAAAUAAUGGUUUAUUUAAAGGUGAGGAAGAUGAUCGUUGGAGAAGGAGGAAUUUUUCGUCAAAAUUAACCUUCUAACGCGCCUAGAGGAGGUGAGAACACCUCCCAUGAUAGGUCAGCCCUUAGGUGUGUAGAAAAUAGAGAAAUAUAAAGUUCAGGUGGGUAAUAGGACACCCGUAAAGUUGGAGUGUGUAGUUGAGAUUUCGAGUAUAGGUUGGGGGGGUUUUAGACCAUUUUCUCAAGUUAGGCAUAAUACAUAAAUAUUUCCUUUAACUUGGUCUUAUUUCAUAUUUAUGCCUUUAAUUUUGGGUGUGCACAAAUAGACUCUUAGGGGUCGUUUGGUAGAGUGUAUUAGUAAUGCUUGCAUUAGUACUGUUUAUAUUUGUUUUGCUUGCAUUAGUUAUGCAUAAAUUAUUUCUUAUGCAUUGUUUAGUUUGGUGUAUUAAAUAUAGUAUGCAUUGUAUAAAAUUAUUUAUUUAUAAAAAUAUCCUCUACAAUUAUGGUGGAAAAGAUGUAAAAGUGUUUUUUAUGGAUAAUUGACGAGAUUUCGGAUAUAGGUUGGGAGGGUUUUAGACCAUUUUCUCAAAAAGAAAAAGAAAAUUGUACUACUUUAGUCUUUGUGGUUCCCAAUUCUAACUAAUGGAGGCAAACUACUACUGUAUUAAAUCUCAUUGUCUUUAGUCGUGUUUUAAGAAAAGGCAAUUUUUAAUCCUUGAUAAAUUAAAGAGAUUUAGUUUUUUGUCUACCUUAAAAUUGAACAAAUGUAUUCAUUUGGUCUUUGGUUAUUUACUGGACUGUAAAUUUAUGAACAUUGUACUCUCAAAAGUGUUAGGUAUUUGUAGUUAGAGUUUGACUAUUUCGAUUUGCGAUGGCGUAGGGCAACAAUCAGGGGAACCACUUUCUACAGUGACACAUUUUUCUAAAAAAUUAACAAUGUCAUUAAUUUUAAUUCAAUUAGAUUCUUGAAAUAUCUGGAAAAUUUGUUAGCAUAUUGAUUAAAAAUUGUAGUUAAAGGAACUCUAUGAAUAUUGUAAGUUCUUAAAAAAUAACUUUUUAAAAUUUUCAAAAACACUUAUUUUUAUCCUAAAAAUUUGGUCAAGCACUUCAAUUUUUAAAAAAAUCUAUUUCUUUUAGAAAAAAAAUCUUAUCAAAAGCAUGAUCAAAGAUAUAUUUUCAUGACCUUUUUGAUGUCACAUGUAACAUUCAUGCCUAUGUAGAAAACUAAAAUUUAAUUCUUAUAGUUAAAGCAAAAAAGUAAGCUUAUCAAAAGCAUGAUCAAACGUAUAUUUCAUGAUUUUUUGAUGUCACAUGUAACAUUCAUGCUUAAAAUAUAUGAAAAUCACUAAAAAUCUAUUUCUUAUAGAAAAAAUAAAAAAAGUAAUUUUAUCAAAAGCAUGAUCAAACGUAUAUUUGAUGACCUUUUUGAUGUCACAUGUUACAUUCAUGCCUAAGAUAUAUGAAGACCACUAAAAUCUAAUUUUGUGCCUAUAUAUAGGAUAUUUUCUGUUCUCAUUCCAUCUAAAAUUUCAAAGCCCUUCUAGCGAUUCUAAAAAAAUUUAAUGAAGUCUCAGUUCCUUUACUUGAUCUCAUUCUCUUGGGUGAGUAAAUUCCCACUUAUAUAUGUGAUUUUUCCUCUAUUAUAUCUCACAUAUAUAGUUAUAUACUGAUAUCUGACCUUUAUAUUACAUUGAUUGAAAAUUUAAUCGUCUCUUUUUUUUAUAUAUAUAUGUAGCUUGCAUUCAUAGUAAGUCAUGCAGCAAUAUCUUCAGAAGUUUAUUGGAAAGUAAAAUUGCCCAACACGCAGAUGCCUAAAGUGAUCAAAGAUUUUCUUCCCCACACAGGUUUUUCUUCAACUCCACGCAUUUUGUUUUAACAUUACGAAUCUGUUUAAUUUUAUUUAUAUCACAUAAAGUGACUUCUCUAAAAAGUACAUUGCUAUGUAAGCCAAUUUGACCUUCUACUCAUGAGAGCUUAAUUUGUAGAUCAUAACUUCAACAGUAAUCAGAAAGUAUACCGCGGUAACAUCGAUUCUGGACUGGUGCCUUGGCAUCAUGAUGCUACGGAGGAAGAGAUUCGUGAAUUGAAAGACGAUCAAAAAGUAUACCGCGGUAACAUUGAUUCUGGACUGGUCCCUUGGCAUCAUGCUACUACAGAGCAAGAGAUUCAUGAACUGAAAGACAAUGACAAUAAUUUUCUUUACAGACCUUACUUCUUCGAAAAUGACUUGAAGAAAGGAAAUAUCAUCAAUUUUCCCUCUUUGAAACAUAAAAAGAGGAAGAGAUUCAUGAAUUGAAAGUAUAUCGCGGUAACAUUGAUUCUGGACUGGUCCCUUGGCAUCAUGCUACUACAGAGCAAGAGAUUCAUGAACUGAAAGACAAUGACAAUAAUUUUCUUUACAGACCUUACUUCUUCGAAAAUGACUUGAAGAAAGGAAAUAUCAUCAAUUUUCCCUCUUUGAAACAUAAAAAUGAUGCACCAUUUUUGCCUCGCCAAUCAACCAUUCCCUUCUCAUCGGAAAAAAUCCCUGAAAUUCUAAAUUAUUUCUCAAUCGAUAGUAAGUCAAAGGAUGCUCAAAUAAUCAAGGAAACAAUCAAUUUAUGUGAAGAGCCAGAUCUCCAUAAAGAGAAGAAAUUUUGUGCAACCUCGUUGGAGUCGAUGGUAGAUUUCAUGUUAUCCGAGCUAGGAACAAACAAUAUCCAAGCAAUUACAACAGAGGUAGAAGGGGAAAGUAGUCAAAAAUUUCAGAAAUACACUAUGGAAAAAGUUGAACAGAUAGCGGAUGGAAAUAACAUGGUAUGCCACAAAGUUAACUACGCGUACGCUGUGCAUUAUUGUCAUGUUGGAGGAAGAACGAAGACAUUCAUGGUAUCUAUGAUAGGUGUUGAUGGAACAAAAGUUAAAGCACUAUCAGUAUGCCACCAAGAUACAUCUUUUUGGACCCCAAAGGGAUUACCUUUUGUAAUGCUCAAUGUUAAGCCUGGAACUACCCCUAUUUGUCAUUUCCUUCCAAGUGAUGAAAUUGUUAUUUUCCCUUCUAAAGAGGCCAUUAAUUAGGCUAUCUCAUAUUUAAACUUAAUAUGUUGUGUGAUUACAGAAUCAUGCUAGCUAUUAUUUGUAUUAUGUCAUUAUGAUUAUGAAAAUGAUUCUGGUUUCAUGAUUUAUUUAUUUAUUUAUUGUGAUUUGCAUUAUGGAUUUCGAGAUUUAAAGCUUUACAUGCAAAAUGAUUCGUCAAAACAACGUCCAUUGUUUGGGGUGGGAGCUAGCAUCAGUUGAUUCUAUGCUGAAAAUUGAUAUUUCCUAAAACAUAUAACUAAAAUUGAAAUACUUUAUUAGUUGAAUCGAAACAAAGCUUAUGGAAUAUCCUAAGGGAGUGGUCAUAUAUUAAGCCAAAUGGCAUUUGGAUGUUACACUUUCUCCAAUCAUGAGUAAUGUACAAAACUAAAACUAAUUACAAUCAGCAUAACAAAAAAGCUCAACUAACAUUAAAAUCAAAGAAAAAUAGAUAUGAGACUAUAUAUAUAUAUAUCAGCAAAUAUUACAAAAGAGAUUUGAGGCCUGUUUUGAAACUGUAACUUGUACUUGAUCCUGGAAAAUCAAGUCCAAACAUCUCUUUAGGACCUUUUCCUGGUUCCAUGAAGCCAGCUAGCUUUGCUACCAAGUAGGCACUAUCUGCAAUGUUGUUCAUAUCAUCUGUUUUACUCCACAAUUUCUCAGCCAACUGUAACCUUCUUCUUUUGCUAUUGAUCCCAAUUCCCCACUUAACGUAUAUCCCUUCUCGUUCUGCUUCGCUUAACUUUUUCUCCAUUUGCUUGCUCAGUAUCCGUCUCUCCUCUCGAAUUUCUUUCUUGCUGUGAAAAUGGAAGACAUCAUAAGUAAGUAUACAUAUAAAUGGAUAAAUUAUGAACAAUUCAUUUUCAUAUGAUAUCUAUUUGCAAGGAAACACCGUGAAAUGAAGUUUCAAGUAUAUUACCUUCCCUCGAGUGACAAAGUCCUACCACUGGAAACGGUUUUCUCACCACGUGAAAAUGUGUCCUUAAGGGAGGUUAAUCUUCUAAUUUCAACCUCCAUAUAUAUAGCAUCUGUUGAAUCACCUUGGAAGAGAAGGAAGAAGUAUGAUCUGUGUGCCAAGGAUACAUUACAAGUAUGCCAAAGUUCAAUAAUCUCUUUUUGAAGUCUCUUGAAUUCGGAGGGCCAACUGUAACGACUUUUGUAAUCAUCUUCUGCUGGCUCAGCAUCUCUCACGCUCUUUGAAGUUGUAUCAUGUUCUGGUUCAGCCUCCUGAACCUGUGACAUACAAGGAUAAAUCAUUAACAAAUUAAAAUAAGAUUAGGUUCCCUCUAUUUCUGCAUUAAACAAUGGACAUAAGUUGCACCUAUAAUCCAGAAUCCAGUAAGUAAUAGAAAUUGUGAUCCAGAACACAUAAACUAAAAAUCCUGGAUUCGCCUCCAAUAUAAUGUUAAAAUGAAGGAUGUAAUCUUCUAGUCAGCACCAUCAAGGUACGGUACGAAUGCAUAUAUCAUAAUCUCAAGGAAUAUCAUCUGACAGUACCAAAUGCAAGUUUCUAUUAGAUUCCGUUAUUAAGUGAAGACAUCUGCAUAAAUAUUUCUGAUAGGAACCUUCUCAUUCCAGAUAAAAGCAAAUGUGAAAGAAAGGUCUUCCUCUAAGGAUCUAGAAGUAUCAACCAGUAAACUGAGGAUAUAAGUUUUUGUCAUCCACCCGCAUGAAUGAUUGGAAUACGAAAACAUAAGACUAGAGAAAUGUAAAAAGUUGCUUUCUAAGAUGAGAGAGUGUACUCACCGGACAAUCUUUGACACUCGUUUUAUGUUGAAGCUCAUCCAUUUUCUUCGUCCUUGCAUUGCAUGCGCCAUCAGCAUCUUUGACCUCCUCAUCAGUUAAAGGUUUCCUUUUUGGAACUUCAAGUUCAAUAUUAGUGGAACCAUUUCUUGAAGAACACUUAACAUCAGUUCUUUUGGAUUCCUCUGAGCAUGGAGAAUAUCGAUCAGUAAUUAUGCUAGCUUUGCAACUUGUACUUUUACAUAACUUCAAAUUUCUAUUGCAUGAUAAAUCAUCAUUAAGAUCACAUGGUGAGGAUAAUUUUUCUGGAGGAGCAUUUGAGGAAUGAACACAAUCUGAAUUUUUCUCUUCUUUUAACAACAAUGUCACGGGCGGCUCUUUGUUGUCCUUGCACUUUGGUGAUUCAAGGGCUUGCCCAAUCCCUAAGGGAAAUGACAUUGUAUCUGUAUUGGACUUCCUACCUUCCUCGAAAAAUGAUGAUGACACCGAUUCUUGGUCUUCUUUAAAGUGUGAUGAUUUCGACUCCCCAUUUUCCUUGUAUGGAGAUGUCACUGAUCUUCUGUGUCCAUUUUCAAGAUGUGAUAUUGUUCCGUGAUUCGUUCUCUCCCCAUUUAUAAUGGUUAGUAAAGCUGGAAAGCCACCAUUUUCUUCAGGAAGUGAACAAUUGAAUACUUGUGUUCCCUUCAUACUUGAUUCGUCUGUUCCAAUGCAACGAACUUCCCUGCAUAAAUCUUCAGAAGUCUCAUUACUUUGUUUUUCAGCUUCAUCCCAUCCCGGACAUGAAUCAGUUCUGCUAUUAUUUGAACUGCCAACUAAUAGCAUUGGAAAUGCAUUGUUGCGAAAGAUGGUUUCGUCAAAUUCUGGCACAUGUAUAAACUGAUCCUCAGAGUUACACCUGCUAUGUCCAAUUGAACGUGCUCUAACAUCAACAUCUACGUAACGAGUGUCUCUCAAAAUGGAAAUCUGUUGCAUUGGGCUUUGAUAUUCUGGUGAUCUCUUCACACGUAAAUUUGGGUAGUGUCCGAAACCAACCUGUGAAAUAUGCGAAAAAAGUAUCUUUAGCAUAGAAUAAGCAAAUGUAUAAACUAGUAGAGUCUAUUAAAUUCCAUCUACCUGUAUUACAUCAUCCCCAAGCAGCUUCAACAGAUCUUUAACUUGACUCUGAGCGAUGUCGCGUUGCAAAAUUAAGUCCUUUAUCUCCUUCUCCAGCUAUAGGAGAAGGAAAAAUUGAUCAAGGAUUCAAGAUGUCAAACAGCAGUGCAUUUGUAAAAUAAUCAGGAUAAUGAACUUGUAAUUUAAGUCGAUAACGAUGAGAGACAUCAUAUAGCAUGUCAGGGGUAAUGAUAGACAUGCUUCAUUUACGAAAUAAAACAACUAUUAACAUCCUCGAUAUAUAAUGGAAGGUACAUCUGAAAAUCUCAAUUAUCUGUAUACUUCUUCCGUCAUUGAAUUUGGACCUUCAACUGUUAUAUUAGUUUAGUAUAUGAUGACGUUUAUUUUGUUCUUGUACCAAAAUUGUGCCUUCCAUAAAAACAGAUUACCUUAACAUGUUUGCAAAUACUUAUUUAGUGUCAUCAAGAUGCAUUACCUGUUGUAUUUGAUGGUCCUUCUCUUGCAGUAAUGCUUCGUAAUCUGAAGGGAAUAUGCAAGCUCUGGGAUACCUUAACUCACUUUCCAAUCUUGCCAACUCCCUCUGCAAAUGCUUCACUAAUGUUUUAUCUGACAUGACGAUAUUCGCUUGGGCAUUUGUAGUUACUUCCUUGGCACAACUUGCAAACAGUAGAGUAUUCCUUGUUUGAUCAACAUGACUUCGUGCAGGGCAAAUUGUACAGAUGAUGGCAGUUCUACCGUUGCCACCCAAUGAUGGCUGUAAUAUCCGCGUUAGCUUUGAAUCUCGGAAAGGAAUGUGGCCGGUCCUGUCCUUGCUGCAUUAAGUAAACAAAAAACUUGAAAUAGUUUCACUUUCCAAAUUCAUCGACAGUGAUCAAAGGCGGUAUCUCAUGCUUAAAACUGGUUUCCAUUUCAGAUUUUGAUGCAACUGAUUAGAAAGUUAUGCAUAAUGUACAACUUUAAGUCUUUAACACAAGCAUAACAGGAUUUAAGCCCUUCUUAUAGACCUGUUUAAUAAUCAUGUUAAACUCGAUUAAGACUGCAAGAAAAUUAAACAACCUUAGCUUACGAAUAACAGUGCCAAGGGUCAGUAAACUGCGGUUUAUGUGACAGCCUUCUUUCAGCCUUGUACCAGCUGACAAUGACUGAGAUGCCCGCUCACUUCCAGCCAAAUCGACAAAAUUCUGUGUUCAAAUGAUAAAACAAUCAGUUGUUACCUCAGUACAUUAUUAUAUCAACACUCUAUACUGUUCGGCAUGAGAGAAACAUUUCCGUACCACAGUAGCUAAAAGGGUACUCGAAUCGUUGUCCCUGCCUAUGUGCUCACCAGCAGAACUUUCAAUUGUCUGCAACAACUUAUACGUCAAAAAUCUGGUGUUUUUAAAGCUCAAUAGCCUGUUAGACAAGAAAUUUCAGCUGUUUUACCAGUCUGAUGAUUUGGUGAGAUCUAGAGCUUGUUUCAUUCAAGGAAGUCUCCCCAAUCUGUCUCUGAGCUGCAACAUUUAGUCGUAAAAUUCAAAACCAUGGUUAUGUUUAAAAUUCAUGGUUACUCAUUCUCUUACCUUCACAAAUAGAAAGGAGAUGAAUCACAUGGCUCCAGUCCCUCAAUGUUUCCUCGGUGAGUUUCUCAAUCACAGUCCCUCUCUGUUGAAAUUACUCUACAUGAUUUUAGAACGAGACAAAAGAACACAAAAUGACUAGUAACUUUGUUGAUCAGUAAAUCAAACUAAUUAACCUCUGGAUCAUCUAGAAGACGGAGUGGAGUGUUAUCUUCACUAAGGAGAUCUCGGACAGAUUCAUUGUAUAUCUCCAUAGCAGAAAACUUCAAAACAAAGUCUCUUUCUGUGUGCUACAACAAGUAGUAAAUUUUGAUCAUUAGAGCAAAGCCAAAACUCUUGAAACAUAAGAAGUGGUGAACAGACAACAUAAUGAUCGAUCAUGAAGUAGCAUUUGGUUACCUUGUUCACGUAUUCGUAGAUAUCUGCUAUAGCAUAUUCAGUUAUUCCAGUCAUAGUGUAUGUCUUUCCGCUGCUUGUUUGUCCAUAGGCAAGAACACUUGCUAGUCGAUACAUAAAUAAUUUCCGAUUAAUAAUACAGGACAUGGACUAGAUGUUCCAAAAACUAUAAGCAGACACAGCUGAAAUUACUCACAAUUGAAUCCUUUGACAACCGAAAGAGCAACUUCUUUAGCUGCUUCUUCAUACACCUGUCUUGUCGAGCAAUCACUGCUAAAUACCCUGUCUAAAACAAAAUCAUAAACCAAUAACGUCCACACAGAGAAACUAUGUCAUUUACUUGAUUAACAUGUGAUAAUAUCGUAAAACAGGAUUUGUUGAUGCUACAAGCAGAACUCUUCCCAAACUUGGAUUAUUGAUCAAUCACAGUUAAAUAAAUACCAUUAAGCUGAAGCCUCAUUUAAGAAUUCCAAAUUAAUAAUCCUAUAAGUGGGAUCUGGAAGGCUAAAGUGUACUCAAACCUUACCCCUACCUCGUGGAGGUAGAGAGGCUGUUUCAAAAGACCCUCAGCUCGAGUAAUCAACGUACAUCAAAGCAGUCCAAAUUAAACAGAACGAAGGCAAAAACUUCAUAAUAUAAACAACUAUCAUCAUUUGUAGAAUUAGCAUAUGUAUUCGAUUAAAUACUGAAAAAUGUAAGAACAUACCAAAGGUAUAUGCAGAAGGAUACAUUAUACGUUCGGAUGGAGAAGAGCUAACAUUGUUGUAGAUAAUAGUUGUGUGAUUCAUACAUUCCCAAUCAGAAACAUCAUUUCUCUCUUUUUCAUUCAAUGUUCUUAACCUCGCGGAUACAUAAAUCCUCUCUUCACGAUCCUCCAUUUUAUUUUUUCUCUAAACCAAAAAUCUCAUUAUAUUAUUGGAAAUGAUCAUGCAUUCUCAAAAAUAAAUUGGAUGUAUUUUCUUAUAAAAAUUAUGGUCCAAUUUCUUACAAUGUACGUAACGAUAAUAUUUAAGAAGAUCAAUUAAUUUUUUGAGUAUAUUUUUUUUUGUUUUUCUGGUAAAUUUGAUAUGAUAACGUUUGAAGAAACAAGAACCUCUCUCUUUCUCUUUUCUCCUUUGGUUGGAAAUUUGAUAAUAACAGAGAAAAAGAGAAAGAGAAGGAAAUAGAUAUAAAAUAACAGUAGAGAAUAUAUAUAAGGAUUGAAUUUGAGAAUCACAGCAUAAAUAAAACUAAAAAAGGCAGAUAGAAAGUUUCUUUUUUUCUUCUUUUACCGAAGAAAAAGGGAAGUUGGGUUUUUUUUUUUUUUUUUUUUUGCCUAAUUUGUCCUAAUUUCUCUUCUUUUUCUUUCCUUUGUGUUUUGCAGCAAAACUAAACCGUGAAAUUAUCGCCAGACAUUUCAUUUGGAACGUUAUUUAAGCAAAUAGCCUUCUGAAGGCUAAAGUAGUACUUGUGGAUUUCGAAAUUUAAACAACUCUAUUUUCUUAUACUAAAUUUUUCAUAUAUCUUUUAAUUAUUUUGAAUUGUCAAUUAUUGUGACUUGUAGUACUUUUUACGUAGUUUACAAAUAUAUAAAUUUCAUUUCAAAAAAAUUGAAGAUUCCAUGCACAAAUUUCUGAUCAAACUUAAAUUGUUUGACUCUCAAAAAAUAAAAAGUGUCACAUAAAUUAAGACAGAGGAAAUAGUAUGUUUUAAAAUUCUAUAAAUUAUUGCAAGCAUUGGUCUUAUAUUUUAGAGCUCAAUGAUUACUCAAAAUAUAUCUAAUUGGCUAUCAAAUUACUCAUGUUUAUUGUCUUUCAAAAGUCGUACGUAAAUUUUUUGAAAUAAACUUUUGAGCAACCAACAAGUUGUAACUCUACAUCUCUAACACACAAGUUUAAGAGGACCUGAAGGCUUAGGGUAAACCCUCCCGAGAUUCAUGAGCGAAACUCUUUUCCUUUUAACUGCAGAUUUAAUAGCACCAAUUAUAAGACAGGAUAAGGCAAACCUUCACGUAAAAAGUCUCAAAUAACUUUCGAUUCAAAUAUAAUUAGUUUCUUUCUGUAUACAUCAUUUUCAUAUUAGUAGAAAGCAAGCUUUCAAGAAUUUAAUUUGCACAUACAAGCAACUUAUAAAAGAUUGAACUAGUAUUGUUGGGGUUCUCAAUUAAGAGAAACCCUCCAAAAAUUGGCGUAUGCCACUAUUUGCAACGCACACACGGUAUUCUUUAGUAAAAGGCGAAAGAAUAGUUCGCUAUGUGUUCAUUGCGUGGCUGCGUGAUUUUGUUAGUUGGCGCAGGAGCUAGUUUUAUAGUGGUUUCUGCUUCUACUUCUUCAAUUGUAGCCGAUGUGGGACUAAUAUAUCACUAUGAACAUGGGCUUUCUUGGGCCGUAGCAUACUUCUCUUAAAAUGGGCUGUUGGGGAUUUCAUGCUGGAAAUAGUGUGGCCAAAUGACUGGGCCUUCAACAUGAGUUGGAAAAUAUAUGGGAAAUUACAUUUUUCUUUGAUUACAUAAACGUGUCAUUUAACUUGGUAGGUGUUUGGCUAUGAGAUAAAAUCAGUGUUUGGACAUGUGAUUUCACGUUGAUUUCAUAUCAUGAGAUGAAAUCCCAAAUCUCCCAUGGGAUUUUUCAAAUACAAAAAAUUGACUCACAAGUUUAGAUUUUGUAAAAAUAACUCAUAUUUAAUUUAUAUAUAUCUACUAGUCAUUUGUUUCAUAUGUAAAUAAAACUUAUAAUUCAUAUUAUUACUUUUUAAACCGUUUAUAUCUCAUAUAACGAUUAUUCUCUCCAAUAUAAAAUUAUUUUUGCUUCAAAUCAAUUCUUAAUUUACCAUUUACAUUCACCAAAUUCAUUAUUUCUUAUCAAAUUUAUUACUACUUCAUUCAAAUCAAUGUUUCAUAAUAAUUAAAAAAAUCAUCAUUAUAUUGAGUGGACAAGACUAAUCACUGUGGCAUUAAUUGCAAAAAUAAUUUUCUUAUCUACUAACAACUUGAACACUACAACUUAUGUUCAAUUUUUAUUUUAUUUUAUUGAAUUAAGGUUUGAUCAAUAAAUGUUGUAUGUUUUUAGAAUAGCUUUGUGAUAAUGUAUAGUGCAAUUUAUAAACUUUUGUUUAUUUGGUAAGAUUGUAUAAACAAUUGGGACAAUAUUGAUAGUUUUACAAUUUAUGGAAUUUUUAUGUUUAUGAGAAAAAUACAACAUAAAAAGUCCAAAUCGUAUGUCCAAACAAAACUUCAACUUCAUCUCAUAAUUUCAAAUCGCCUGUCCAAACGGGUCCUUAGUUUCAACUUACAUUUAUGUCUUCUAACUUUGGGUGUGCAAAUUUAGGCACUUAAACUUGUACAAAUUGAACAAAUAGACACAUUUGUCUUAUGUGGCAUCCUACAUGGCAAUUUGUGUCCUACGUGGUAUCCUACGUAUAUUAUGUUAUGUAGAAUUUAUGUGUCUACUUGUUCAACUUUACACAAAUAUAAGUGUCUACUUGUGUACACUCAAAAUUCGAAGACAUAAAUAUGAAAUAAGGCAAAAUCAAAAGGCACGUUUAAAUAUUAUGCUUACUUUAAUUAAACGUGGAGAUGCAAGGUUAAACACAAAAACUCUUAGAAUGUGAAAUAAAUCUCAUUCUAAGUAUAUUCAUUCCUAAAAGAAGGUCAAAAGCAAAGAGUCGAAAUUACUUCUUUUUUUCCCACAGUGAGAAAAGAAUUUUCCAUCUUAUAAUUAGUUACUUUAUCUUUUAUUGAGGUGGAUAUAAUUUUUUCUUGGAUUAUCGAGGAAAUUUAUUAAUAUCUAUAAGCUUUAAAUCAAGUGAAUAAAGUUGAUAAGAAGUACAAAUAAUAGUAUUACAUAGGUAAAUCUCAUAGUUGUUUUGCUAAAGCCUUAACGAAUGUUAGUUAAUUUAUAAAGAGUGCUAAUUGUUUGUAAAAAGAAAUAUUUAGCAGCAAUUAAACUAUUAUCAGUGAAGUCAUUAAGGGUCCAAAGUUUCAGGGAAAACAUAGAUAGGCAGAUAAUGUGUUUACAAAUAUAUAUGCACCAGAGAAAUUGAUUUUAUGGCAUUUGGCACACUGCUUGUUAAUCUGGAGAAGAAUUCAAUGAAUAGCAUAAAACUGAAACUCAGUAGCAUGAAUGUCAAUAAUUGCUAAAGGUACAUGUUAUAUGAACAAAGACAAGACAAUAUUCUUGAGGAGCUAGCUAUGAGCUUUUAUGCACCGCGAACUCGAUCAUGAAAACAUGCAGUAGUACAUAUAUACUUUCUAAUAUCUCAGU